UACGGAGGGUGCAAGCGUUAAUCGGAAUUACUGGGCGUAAAGCGCACGCAGGCGGUUUGUUAAGUCAGACGUGAAAUCCCCGGGCUCAACCUGGGAACUGCAUUUGAAACUGGCAAGCUAGAGUCUCGUAGAGGGGGGUAGAAUUCCAGGUGUAGCGGUGAAAUGCGUAGAGACCUGGAGGAAUACCGGUGGCGAAGGCGGCCCCCUGGACGAAGACUGACGCUCAGGUGCGAAAGCGUGGGGAGCAAACAGGAUUAGAUACCCUGGUAGUCCACGCUGUAAACGAUGUCGAUUUGGAGGUUGUGCCCUUGAGGCGUGGCUUCCGGAGCUAACGCGUUAAAUCGACCGCCUGGGGAGUACGGCCGCAAGGUUAAAACUCAAAUGAAUUGACGGGGGCCCGCACAAGCGGUGGAGCAUGUGGUUUAAUUCGAUGCAACGCGAAGAACCUUACCUACUCUUGACAUCCAGAGAACUUUCCAGAGAUGGAUUGGUGCCUUCGGGAACUCUGAGACAGGUGCUGCAUGGCUGUCGUCAGCUCGUGUUGUGAAAUGUUGGGUUAAGUCCCGCAACGAGCGCAACCCUUAUCCUUUGUUGCCAGCGGUUCGGCCGGGAACUCAAAGGAGACUGCCAGUGAUAAACUGGAGGAAGGUGAGGAUGACGUCAAGUCAUCAUGGCCCUUACGAGUAGGGCUACACACGUGCUACAAUGGCGUAUACAAAGAGAAGCGACCUCGCGAGAGCAAGCGGACCUCAUAAAGUACGUCGUAGUCCGGAUUGGAGUCUGCAACUCGACUCCAUGAAGUCGGAAUCGCUAGUAAUCGUAGAUCAGAAUGCUACGGUGAAUACGUUCCCGGGC
RNAcentral lists this ribosomal RNA (855 nucleotides) under uncultured Serratia sp. Its description in RNAcentral is "bacterial SSU rRNA". It matches the Rfam family "Bacterial small subunit ribosomal RNA", at positions 524 to 1379 of the family's 1533-position model. The record is from RNAcentral. Lineage: Bacteria; Pseudomonadati; Pseudomonadota; Gammaproteobacteria; Enterobacterales; Yersiniaceae.